GAUGAACGCUAGCUACAGGCUUAACACAUGCAAGUCGAGGGGCAGCAUGAUUGAAGCUUGCUUCAAUUGAUGGCGACCGGCGCACGGGUGAGUAACACGUAUCCAACCUUCCGUACACUCAGGGAUAGCCUUUCGAAAGAAAGAUUAAUACCUGAUGGUAUCUUAAGCACACAUGUAAUUAAGAUUAAAGAUUUAUCGGUGUACGAUGGGGAUGCGUUCCAUUAGGUAGUAGGCGGGGUAACGGCCCACCUAGCCUACGAUGGAUAGGGGUUCUGAGAGGAAGGUCCCCCACAUUGGAACUGAGACACGGUCCAAACUCCUACGGGAGGCAGCAGUGAGGAAUAUUGGUCAAUGGACGAGAGUCUGAACCGGCCAAGUAGCGUGAAGGAUGAAGGUCCUACGGAUUGUAAACUUCUUUUAUAAGGGAAUAAAACCUCCCACGUGUGGGAGCUUGUAUGUACCUUAUGAAUAAGCAUCGGCUAACUCCGUG
RNAcentral lists this ribosomal RNA (490 nucleotides) under uncultured bacterium. Its description in RNAcentral is "bacterial SSU rRNA". It matches the Rfam family "Bacterial small subunit ribosomal RNA", at positions 28 to 507 of the family's 1533-position model. The record is from RNAcentral.